This 256-nucleotide ribosomal RNA is filed under the name uncultured bacterium. Its description in RNAcentral is "partial 16S ribosomal RNA". It matches the Rfam family "Bacterial small subunit ribosomal RNA", at positions 332 to 586 of the family's 1533-position model. The record is from RNAcentral.
CGGAACCUACGGGACGCAGCAGUGAGGAAUAUUGGUCAAUGGUCGGGAGACUGAACCAGCCAAGCCGCGUGAGGGAUGAAGGUACAGAGUAUCGUAAACCUCUUUUGUCAGGGAACAAAGGCGGGGACGCGUCCCCGGAUGAGUGUACCUGAAGAAAAAGCAUCGGCUAACUCCGUGCCAGCAGCCGCGGUAAUACGGAGGAUGCGAGCGUUAUCCGGAUUUAUUGGGUUUAAAGGGUGCGCAGGCGGUCUGUUAA